CUACGGGUGGCUGCAGUGGGGAAUAUUGGACAAUGGGCGAAAGCCUGAUCCAGCCAUGCCGCGUGUGUGAAGAAGGCCUUCGGGUUGUAAAGCACUUUCAGUGGGGAAGAAAGCCUUGGGGCUAAUACCCUCGAGGAAGGACAUCACCCACAGAAGAAGCACCGGCUAACUCCGUGCCAGCAGCCGCGGUAAUACGGAGGGUGCGAGCGUUAAUCGGAAUUACUGGGCGUAAAGCGCGCGUAGGCGGUCUGAUAAGCCGGUUGUGAAAGCCCCGGGCUCAACCUGGGAACGGCAUCCGGAACUGUCAGGCUAGAGUGCAGGAGAGGAAGGUUGAAUUCCCGGUGUAGCGGUGAAAUGCGUAGAGAUCGGGAGGAAUACCAGUGGCGAAGGCGGCCUUCUGGACUGACACUGACGCUGAGGUGCGAAAGCGUGGGUAGCAAACAGGAUUAGAUACCCUGGUAGUC
This 464-nucleotide ribosomal RNA is filed under the name Vreelandella stevensii. RNAcentral's name for it is "partial 16S ribosomal RNA". It matches the Rfam family "Bacterial small subunit ribosomal RNA", at positions 339 to 795 of the family's 1533-position model. Lineage: Bacteria; Pseudomonadati; Pseudomonadota; Gammaproteobacteria; Oceanospirillales; Halomonadaceae. The record is from RNAcentral.